CCGCGGGGCGCGGAGCGUGGCUGCCCCCGGCCCCCGCCCCGCCGCCGCCGCCCCCCGCCGUUCAGGGAGUCGCGACCGCCGCCGAGCACCGUGUGUUCGCACAGGAGGAGAAGAAGAAGGAAGGGGCAAGGAAGAGGAAAAGAAGAGGAUUUAUUUACCCGACCUACUUUGGAUCUCUCUUUUUUCCUGCGUGUGCCAUUAUUAUUCCCGUCCUCUAUUUUUACACUUCGCCGUGAAUUCGUCUCCUCUGCGAAUUUAGUCACAUCCGAUUUUUUUUUUUUUUUUUUUUUUUUUUUUUUUUUUUUUU
Coturnix japonica (Japanese quail) is the source of this 307-nucleotide non-coding RNA. NCBI's taxonomy places the organism in Eukaryota, Metazoa, Chordata, Aves, Galliformes, Phasianidae. The record is from RefSeq and is a predicted model, not a curated record.